GGGAAGGAUGAGAAGCUUCGACUAAGGUUCGAUUCGAGCGCAGCGAGAAAGCGUUGCCGCAGGCAACGACCCGAAGGGCGAAGCGCGCAGCGCUGAGUCAUCCUUCCCCCACCACCA
RNAcentral lists this small RNA (117 nucleotides) under Salmonella enterica subsp. enterica serovar Infantis. RNAcentral's name for it is "partial RtT sRNA". It matches the Rfam family "RtT RNA", at positions 15 to 130 of the family's 130-position model. From Rfam's summary of the family: This family represents a bacterial cis-regulatory element known as RtT RNA. The exact function of RtT is unknown although it is thought that it may be involved in changing the cellular response in relation to amino acid starvation. Lineage: Bacteria; Pseudomonadati; Pseudomonadota; Gammaproteobacteria; Enterobacterales; Enterobacteriaceae. RNAcentral also lists the same sequence under 22 other names. The record is from RNAcentral.